UAUAUAUAUAUAUAUAUAUAUAUGGAGUUUGUAUCUUAAGAAAUAUUAUAUGUACAUGUACCCUCUGUUUUUAUGAAAUGAAGAUUUUUUCUUAUCAUAUUUAUUUAAUUAAUGGAACUUACAGAUAUUUUUACCCCCUCCCCCCGACAGUGUUACAUAACAAGAUAAUUCAAAUUUAACAAGACUUAUUAUUAAUUAUCAUUUCCCUAAAUUACAUUUCUCAUCAUGGUAUCUUUAGAAUAGAUGAGGAAAGUAUCUAGUUUUGUCAGCGCUACAGUGACAUAUUCAGUUGUUUCCCAAAUACAUAUGCAUUGGGAAAAACUGUGAUGUUAAAGAAAAAACAUGGGAUAUUUUAUUUUAAACUCGUGGUCUAGCCCUUACGCAAAAGCGAACAUCAUGGGACCACUGAACCUGAAGGGAUAAUGCGAUGUUUGUUCUACAAAUAUAUUGAUCAACCAUAUCUACUCUCUAUUGACUGACCUCAUUUCUCCUUUAGAGUGAUCAAACAUUUAAAAUAUCCCCAAGCAAUGUUGUCCUUAAAAUAAUAUGUACUUAAUUUUUUAAAUUUUUUAUUUUGUUUCCCUUUUUUCCCCCUGGUUGUUAUUCAUACCAUGUUGUUGUCAAAGUAACAUCACAAAACUAUGUUGUGGCAAACUGUCAUCUUUUUUCUUUUCUUGAUACAAGUUAAUGUUGUUAUGAGUUUUUGUUUGAAAACAAAUAAGUAACUGUUGUAGUGUAGAAGUGAGCUGUGUGCUAGUCAUAUACAACUGUGGUCAUUUGUGGUCUUAACAUGUUGGCAUUAGAAUAGUCUUGGGCAGUCUAACAAAAAUGUAAUGUGAUAAUUUUUUUUACUA
Biomphalaria pfeifferi is the source of this 854-nucleotide non-coding RNA. Lineage: Eukaryota; Metazoa; Mollusca; Gastropoda; Planorbidae. The record is from the annotation of a GenBank genome assembly.